Molecule: unclassified non-coding RNA, 483 nt
Filed under: Hevea brasiliensis (rubber tree)
Lineage: Eukaryota; Viridiplantae; Streptophyta; Magnoliopsida; Malpighiales; Euphorbiaceae
Source: RNAcentral
UAACUUGGAUCCUUUCACGGGGAAAGAAAACAACAAAAACUUGGAUACUCGGUAGGAACGUGUCAUUUAUGCAUUCAACCUUUAGUGAAAUUUCUACCAUUGCAUGGCUGGCAAAGGAGAGGAGGGAGAGGGGAAGGGGGGGUUGUUUGAAAGGUGAACCACAUUCCUAAACAAAAUGAAAACAUAGAACGCAAGUAAAUAUGAAAACGCCGGUAAUUGUGAUUUAAUGUCAAUUCCACACAUGAUUGGUAAUCAACAAGGAUAUUUAACAGAUUGCAUUAGCAAAAUUUGAUUACAAGUCAUGAGAAGACAUGCACAUAUGGUCUAACUUUGAAAUUUUUAAAAUGAAAUCACGUUUGUGUAACCACCUUUCUGAUUUCUAGGUAAUAUAUUGUUAAAGGUCUUUUAGCUGUUCAAAUUUGCAUGAUCACGUCAAGAUGAAGUUUGAAGUUGAGUCCCUUGUGUGUCUUAUGGAUGUUAAUG